UGGGGAAUAUUGGACAAUGGGCGAAAGCCUGAUCCAGCCAUGCCGCGUGGAUGAUGAAGGCCCUAGGGUUGUAAAGUCCUUUCGACGGGGAAGAUAAUGACGGUACCCGUAGAAGAAGCCCCGGCUAACUUCGUGCCAGCAGCCGCGGUAAUACGAAGGGGGCUAGCGUUGCUCGGAAUCACUGGGCGUAAAGCGCACGUAGGCGGUUUUCUAAGUCAGGGGUGAAAUCCCGGAGCUCAACUCCGGAACUGCCCUUGAUACUGGAGAACUCGAGUUCGGGAGAGGUGAGUGGAACUGCGAGUGUAGAGGUGAAAUUCGUAGAUAUUCGCAAGAACACCAGUGGCGAAGGCGGCUCACUGGCCCGAUACUGACGCUGAGGUGCGAAAGCGUGGGGAGCAA
This 399-nucleotide ribosomal RNA is filed under the name uncultured bacterium. RNAcentral's name for it is "bacterial SSU rRNA". It matches the Rfam family "Bacterial small subunit ribosomal RNA", at positions 355 to 771 of the family's 1533-position model. The record is from RNAcentral.